UCGGUUCCAUGGCACGUCGUCGCAGUGUUAUGUCCGGUGUCGUCGUGGUGCACUUCUCCCCUAGUAGGACGUCGCGACCCGUUGGGUGUCGGACUACGGCCUGGGUGGUUGUCCGUUGCGGCGAUUUAUCGCCAUGACAGACCCCCGGUGUCUUUCCCGUCCGACUGCUCGGCGGUAUUGGUGCGAUGGUAUUCGGCCGCAAUCUAUUCUAACGACAUGCGUCAUAGGCCCGUCGCAAGCGCGGUCAGUGUCCCGUGUGGUACGGACGUAGUGCCGUCCCCGGGCCUGACCAGCUGUUGGCUGACGGUGUCCUCUGACUGGCCGCUUACUUGUUUGCGACGCUUUUGCUUUGGGUACUCUCAGGACCCGUCUUGAAACACGGACCAAGGAGUCUAACAUGUGCGCGAGUCAUUGUGAUAACAAAACCUAAAGGCGAAAUGAAAGUGAAUGUCGACCUUGCGUCAACAGAGGGAGGAUGGGUUGCGCAAAGCAGCCUCGCACUCCCGGGGCGUCUCGUUCUCAUUGCGAGGAGAGGCGCACCUAGAGCGUACACGUUGGGACCCGAAAGAUGGUGAACUAUGCCUGGUCAGGACGAAGUCAGGGGAAACCCUGAUGGAGGUCCGUAGCGAUUCUGACGUGCAAAUCGAUCGUCGGAACUGGGUAUAGGGGCGAAAGACUAAUCGAACCAUCUAGUAGCUGGUUCCCUCCGAAGUUUCCCUCAGGA
Molecule: ribosomal RNA, 724 nt
Filed under: Aporus unicolor
Lineage: Eukaryota; Metazoa; Arthropoda; Insecta; Hymenoptera; Pompilidae
Description: eukaryotic LSU rRNA
Rfam family: Eukaryotic large subunit ribosomal RNA
Source: RNAcentral